This is a long non-coding RNA of Bombus pascuorum, 720 nucleotides long. RefSeq lists it as uncharacterized. The record is from RefSeq and is a predicted model, not a curated record. NCBI's taxonomy places the organism in Eukaryota, Metazoa, Arthropoda, Insecta, Hymenoptera, Apidae. The transcript is spliced from 2 exons.
UAACGAGAUAUAGUCGCUCAAAACUGGAAGAUGCUUCUUCUACAAGUAAGCAACCAUCGAGGAAAGCAGGCUAAGUUUCUACGACACUGAAACAAUGAUCGAGCGCAUAAAGAAUUAUAACGAACUUUUCCGGAAGUGCGUCAGUAGAAUACCGACAAUGCAUAGAACGGCAGUGGCAAGAAAAAAAAAAAAAAAAAAAAAAAAGAAGAAAGAAUGGCUCAAGAAGAAAGAGAAACAGAAAAAUAGUGAGGGUACGGUUAUCGUCGGAAAUUCGAUAACGCGUUGUAUAACCACAAUUAUAUCAAACCGUUAACAUGCUAUCGGGAUACGUAUCCUGUUUUAAGACACUCGAAAAAUGUCUGCGUUUUCCGUCCAUUGGGCGUCAUCGUAGGCGCGAAACAUUUUCUACCUAUGCCGCGAACAGAAAUGAGGAAGAGAAAGGGAGAAGCGAAGGAAAAAUGUCUUACCUUUUAGCGUCACGAUAUUUACGAACGUCAAACGAAAUACGUAUCGCUACGUCAAAGGUUGCCAAGCUCUGUAACGUUUUAUCCGGACGAUUACAUUUAUCCUCGUGACCGUGUAUCGACCGUGUAACUUUACGAUUGUCCGUACCGAAGUUCAUACAUUUUUCAUGGGUCAGCUAAAUUUUAAAUAUCGUCGAUAUAUCGCGAUAUAUAGCUUGUCUCUCGAACUCAGCAGAAAUAAAAUCCUUUCCUGCUG